UUGUUUCCUUAAACAUGACACAGAAGCCCGCCUUGGCUUGGCUCUGUCCUGCUCAUCCAUGCCACAUCUUAUCCUGCACCUUCCAGUCAAACUUCGUGUUCUUUCGUGCUAUCGUGCUGUAUAAUGACUCUUAACAGCUGCCUAAACGCAGCUCCUGGAAACUCUUUUGGGAAACCUUCCUUGAUUCUUUUCUUUUGUGAUCACUGAAGCACUUUGUAUGCAUCUCUAGCAUAGCAUCAUUUUCUACCAGAACCUCUUGUUUGUGUUUGUUCCUCAGUUUUUCUUUUGAAGCUUUCAUGAGCACGCACAGGUGCAUAUGGUUACAUUUUCAGAGGCAGGUUCUUCUGUGCUGUUGCUGUUGUAUUCUUCAUUGAACCCUCUAGGGUGUAAUCCAUUCUCCUAAUCUCCUUUUAAAAAAUCCUGUUUCCUUUUUAAAAUAAUUGUAGAGUAUUGGUUUACCCUCUCUGCACAUGUCCAUU
Molecule: long non-coding RNA, 479 nt
Filed under: Bos taurus (domestic cattle)
Lineage: Eukaryota; Metazoa; Chordata; Mammalia; Artiodactyla; Bovidae
Description: long non-coding RNA NONBTAT013717
Source: RNAcentral